UCAUUCUUUAUAGUUUUUGGG
RNAcentral lists this non-coding RNA (21 nucleotides) under Caenorhabditis elegans. The record is from RNAcentral. Lineage: Eukaryota; Metazoa; Nematoda; Chromadorea; Rhabditida; Rhabditidae.